Molecule: ribosomal RNA, 368 nt
Filed under: uncultured organism
Description: bacterial SSU rRNA
Rfam family: Bacterial small subunit ribosomal RNA
Source: RNAcentral
CGGAGGGUGCAAGCGUUAUCCGGAUUCACUGGGUUUAAAGGGUGCGUAGGUGGGCAAGUAAGUCAGUGGUGAAAUCUCCGGGCUUAACCCGGAAACUGCCAUUGAUACUAUUUGUCUUGAAUAUCCUGGAGGUGAGCGGAAUAUGUCAUGUAGCGGUGAAAUGCUUAGAUAUGACAUAGAACACCCAUUGCGAAGGCAGCUCACUACGGGAACAUUGACACUGAGGCACGAAAGCGUGGGGAUCAAACAGGAUUAGAUACCCUGGUAGUCCACGCCCUAAACGAUGGAUACUCGACAUCAGCGAUAAACUGUUGGUGUCUGAGCAAAAGCAUUAAGUAUCCCACCUGGGAAGUACGAUCGCAAGAUUG